AUUGAACGCUGGCGGCAUGCUUUACACAUGCAAGUCGAACGGCAGCGAGGAGAAGCUUGCUUCUCUGUCGGCGAGUGGCGAACGGGUGAGUAUAGCAUCGGAACGUGCCAAGUAGUGGGGGAUAACCAAACGAAAGUUUGGCUAAUACCGCGUAAGCUCUAAGGCGGAAAGUAGGGGACCUAAAUAAGGCCUUACGCUAUUUGAUCGGCCGAUGUCGGAUUAGCUAGUUGGUGGGGUAAUGGCUCACCAAGGCAAUGAUCCGUAGCGGGUCUGAGAGGACGAUCCGCCACACUGGGACUGAGACACGGCCCAGACUCCUACGGGAGGCAGCAGUGGGGAAUUUUGGACAAUGGGGGAAACCCUGAUCCAGCCAUGCCGCGUGUAUGAAGAAGGCCUUAGGGUUGUAAAGUACUUUUGUUAGGGAAGAAAAGCUAGUUUUUAAUAAAAAUUAGUGAUGACGGUACCUAAAGAAUAAGCACCGGCUAACUACGUG
RNAcentral lists this ribosomal RNA (493 nucleotides) under uncultured bacterium. RNAcentral describes it as "partial 16S ribosomal RNA". It matches the Rfam family "Bacterial small subunit ribosomal RNA", at positions 30 to 507 of the family's 1533-position model. The record is from RNAcentral.